ACAUGGAUUUUAAUUUUUUUUUUUUUGUCUGCUCCACACAGACCAGAUACCUUGUCUUGGUGCGGUCGCAACAUCCUAAUCUUCCUUUCGUAAGAGAUUAUAUCGUCAAUGGAAAUUUGGGAUCACGGCUGACGAGGCGUGAUUCUGAAGAGUAUGAUGAAGAUAAAUAUGGCAGAGUAAGUCUAAUUUUAGGCACGGGCGAGAAUGACAGGAAUGCUGUUUCUGAAAUGGCCAAAAAGCGGAGAGAAGAUUAAGGCUUCAUGAGCAACAACGACAUUUUCAACUUAUCGUUGCGACUCGCUCGGACCUCGUCGUUUUCGCAUUAGAACCUCCGUUUAACGAUGACGCAAGAAGCGGGCGCGGGGGCGACGGCGGCGGGCUGCUCUGGCGGGGCGGGCGUGAGCAACCUGAUGCGUCGAUCGUCGUACUCGCCGAUGUCGUCGCUGUCGUCGCAGCAGUCGGGCGAGCCGCUCAUCGUCGUCGAGGAGUCGAGCGCCGAGGACGCCUACGCCUUCGACGAGCGGCAGGAGGGCUCCGGCGACUCCCGCCCUCCUCCCCGCCCUACCCCGCCCAGCACGACCCCUUCCUCCUCUCACCGUACCGGGACAUCCGGAAGCGCUCCCUCCCCACCCCCCAGUG
This 639-nucleotide long non-coding RNA is filed under the name Bemisia tabaci. Its description in RNAcentral is "lncRNA ENSASIAIIG000113". Lineage: Eukaryota; Metazoa; Arthropoda; Insecta; Hemiptera; Aleyrodidae. The record is from RNAcentral.